UACGUAGGGUGCGAGCGUUAAUCGGAAUUACUGGGCGUAAAGGGCUCGUAGGCGGCCAACUAAGUCAGACGUGAAAUCCCUCGGCUUAACCGGGGAACUGCGUCUGAUACUGGAUGGCUAGAGUUUGGGAGAGGGAUGCGGAAUUCCAGGUGUAGCGGUGAAAUGCGUAGAUAUCUGGAGGAACACCAAUGGCGAAGGCAGCUCGCUGGGACGUGACUGACGCUGAGACGCGAAAGCGUGGGGAGCAAACAGG
Molecule: ribosomal RNA, 253 nt
Filed under: uncultured bacterium
Lineage: Bacteria
Description: partial 16S ribosomal RNA
Rfam family: Bacterial small subunit ribosomal RNA
Source: RNAcentral